GGCUCAGGGUCUGUCCCCAGGGUGUGAGUGAUGCUUGUUGCUUUGGGGUGAUGCCUGGUGGCUGGGAAAACCCCGCGCUUUGCUCCUGUGCAGGCUGCUGGGGGCAGGGAGGUCGGUGCAGCAGGGCAGGCGACAUGGUCAGCACCCAAUGUGGGCCAUGUGGGGACAGGGAGGAACCAUGGACAUGAGGGUGACCCCACUUUUCUCCAGUGAUGUGCCCUGCCUUAUGCUGCUCUUUUGCCCGUCCCUAAGCUUGCACAGGUGUGAGCUUGUGCUCGUGCUCACUGCGGGUCCCUGCUGUCACAGCGACCCCACACACCCCCCUUGCCGUUCCCCGACCUCUUCCCUUGCUGGCCAGAAGAGCGGUCACAGACCCGGCUCCCACCCUCCCUUUCCCCCAGUUGUGCUUAAUUCAAUUUGCUUCUCCCUGAACGGCUUCCCAUAGUUUGACCAUUAACAAAUGGAUUUGGCCAGAGGCCCCGGGGACCAUUUGCAUGAUAAACCUUCUGCCGCAGCGCGCGCGCCAGCCCCGGGCACCAGCGAGCCGCGGGCUCUGCCAGCAGCCCCGCGAUCGGCACGCCGCGGAGAGGUGCCAAAUCUCAGCCAGCCCGUGCCAAUUUGGAGAGAAAGGGGCGAGGGAGCUGCACACAAAGAGCGGUUUAUAGCCCGGCCGGGCACCUGACACUGGGAGGAGGGAGGGCUGGGACGUGCUUAGCCCUGAUAAUCCCUGGGUUGAGUUUAAUAUAUAUAUAUAUAUAUUUAAUCAAAAGCACAGCAACAGCUGGGGCUGAGGCUUUCCAGGAGAUGAACUCAUGAACAACUGUUCAAAAUAACUUUAUUCGUACUGCUAUUAGAUCAGCCCACUGGGGAGCAACCAAUUAUUUUUGAUUACUCGAGGCAGAUAAGGCUGGGGUAGAGCCGAGAACCACGUGCUGCAAGGGAGAGGGGCUGGAGGGAGGCACCUCCUGGUUCGCACACGCUGGCUGUGCUGCUCCAUGGCUCAGCCCCUGUGAGAGCCCCCAGCACCCAUGUGAGCCCCCAGUGCCCUUGUGAGCCCCCUCAGCACAGUGGGUUUGAGGGUUUUGCACAGGGCUUUGCAGGCAUGCAUGGAGUGGGCACGAAGGAGGCAGGUGUGUGCCACAGGCAGGCUGGUGGGGAUGUUUGCAGGCAGGUGUGUGCUGUUUCCACCUAAAAACCAAUUAACGGUGAUGCUGCCGAGCUCAUUAGCCUGCCUGUGGCUGGUCCAUCCAUCUUGUUUGCCAGCCCCCAGCAUGGAGUCAGCCCAGGGGAGCACAGGGGCUGAGCAGGACAGGUCCCAUCCCAACAUCUGAGACGAGCCGUGCCUGGUCUCAGCGCAGCAGUGCCGGCAGGAGUCAGCAUGGGCAAGGAAACGAGAAACUUCCAAGUGAUUUACCACCCUCUGCUUGCACCAAAUCCAUUUGCAUGAUUUUGCUGUGCUUGGUCGCUUGCCCUGCCUUCAUCCCUCGGGCACUCGGGGUUAAAGUGUGUUCAGUCAGCUGAGGCCAGUGCCGGCCAUUUCUGCUUUCCAGCAUGACAUCAAGCAAACCUGAGCGUGCGAGCUGUUAGCCAGCAGAAUGGUCUCCCAGGGGAAGGAAAGGUGGAAGCUGAAACGCUGAAAACUGGGCUGCAGGGAACAGCCUGCACUGGCCAGGAGACAGACUGCAUGAUCUAAUAGGUCUUUUCCAUUUCUCGCUCCUGUGAUUCAAGAAGUCCUGUCACUAGGGAUUUUUUAAAAAUAGACUGGAUGAAACACAAGACGGUGGAUGGACAGAUCGGUCCUGCCUUGGCCGGGGGACAGAUCUCCACGAAUGGAAGGUCUCAGUCUGGAACUGAUUUGACUCCAGUCACCAGAGCCGCUGCUACCAGGGAUUUUGUAAGAUUCUGCAAGGCCUUUAAUCUCUUCCCCUACAAAUAGCAAACCAGGAGGGAGGACAGGAAGAACAAGCAUUUUCAGGCUCCUGGCUCUACGAUGGCAGAAAGCAGACCUCUGAACGCUCGUUCCUCUGAGAGCUUCCAGUGCAAACCCCGUGCAAGUCACAGCAACAAAAGUGCUUGUGAGCAAAACCAACGCGAGCCCUCCUGAAUGACCUCCGCUCCUGGGGAUCAGAGGGCAGCAAGUGUCGGGGCCCUGGCUCCCAAGCUGUUGCUAAUUACUGAAAGCAUCUCUAACAAAGCAGGAAGCUCCCCAUUAGAACCAGGAGCCUUAUUUGCAUGUAGUACCAAGCAUUCUGUGCUUUUGGAGGUGGCCUUUCAAGAUUUGUUUUUUUUUUAUUUAUUUUGUUUUGUGUUUUUUAAUUAUUAUUAUUGUUUUUUCCUCCUGAAGAGGAUGCGGGAAGGACAUGUGUAAGGCUGCCGAACUAACGCAGCCUAGGCAGGGAGGCAGAGGGGAAGUUUGCGUUGCGUUAAGCAGGUUCCUCGGUGGAGAUGAGGCACGGCUGAAUUUAUAGCAACCCUCAGAAGAAAAUGAUAAAUGGAAGCUGUAAUUUUUAUCAGGGAGGGGGGCAGAUCAUGGGUGAGGGAACAAAAUAAUAAAAAAAGCAUAAAUUAGAAGCGCGGCUUGACAGCUGGGAGCCGAAAGCGGUUGGCUCGUAUAUAAUAUGCGUUUCUUGUGGAACAUGAUCCAGCACAGCGCAUGGAAAUUACCUGCAAAAAGACUUUCUAUUAAGUCAUAUUACAGUGAACUCUCUCUACAAGGGCUCCGAGGACGGGUGCCCCGAGAGGCGCUGCUGGUCCUUUGCUUCCUACUGCUCCUGACCCGCGUCCUACAACAACCGCCACCCUCGGCUGGCCCGCGCGGCACUGCUCCGGUUUGGCACGUCCAUAUAUUUAAAAUAGACAGAAUGAAAGUCAUAGUGCAGGGCCAGCGCACCUUUUAAGCCCAAUACAAGCCCAGCGGGGCACCCUGUGUUUCUCCUCUCUCUCCUUAGGAGAGGUUUGGAUGGUUUGGGGGCAGCUGCUUGUUCUUGCACCCAUCCUGCACAGCUGGGCACUGGUCCCUGUCCUAUUCCAAGUGCCCUGGGCUAUGGGGCAAUGCGCUGCCUCUCGGAGGCACUGUUUUUUAACCAGGAAAAGAUACAAUGUGCCAUGAAGCAGCACUGUGGAUGGCUCCAGGUCCCUCCAUCACCAGGAGAGUGGAGGAAUAUCAUUGCCAGGACAUGGGAACAUCACUGCUGGGACACAGGAACAUCACAGCCAGGUGCGCGGCUCAGAGGACGUGGUGCAUGCCCCUGCCCAUCCCAGUGCCAGCAGGAGUUUGGCUGCUCACAGACCUCUCACAUCUGGGUGCUGCUGGGAUGUGCACAACCUUCAGCAAAGUCAUCUGCAAAGCCUUGCCUCGGAGAGAAGCGUUAAACCAGGACAGCUCCUCUGUGCAGGGAGGGUGGCAGGGGGCAGCCUGGAGGAAGGCAGGAACCAGACACGUUGGGGGACCCACAGGAGAAACGGCAAUGGCACAGAAAGAGGCUGCACACGAGUGGGAAGGGGCCGAGCAUCUUUCCAUGACAUAUUUCCACCCUCCGCAUGUUCUCAAGGAGCAGCAGCCUCACAGCACCCCAGACUUCCCAAGUCUUGUCCUGACGGCCAAGUUUGUCUCUAAACCUGACCGCUUUCUUUGGGUUUGAGUCCAUCUACCGAUCCCUUUUUGAUGCCAGAAGUGCUUCCCUGAGCCAAAUUUCCCUGGUAAUUGUCCUUUGGAUUAGUUUGGAAAAUUACAUAAGCCCUGGGUUAGAGCUGGCUGCGUCUCUCAUCCGAGUGCCUAAGGCUUCAUGGGGCAAAGACUAAAGAGCUGUGAAAUGCAGAGAUAUAACAGAUGUUGACAUGUAGUGAAAAUACUAGACGCAGGAGCCUAAGAUAAUAAAUCUGAAAAAUUAACACGUAGGAGAACGAAAAAAGGAGCAAUAUGUUUUGGUAAUCAUUCUGAACUGCUGAACCCUUCUCCUGCAGUUCAAAAAUCUCUGGUAUUAAGCAGAUGUCAUUCAACCAAUGAUUAACACAUUACCGAAUUUCUCCAGUCGUUUAAUAAAAGUUUUACAUAACAUGCAGGUAAUUGCUUCCAAAUGUCAAGGUAACAAUGCGGGCUUCUAUGGAUGGCAUUGUUUCCAGCGUCAGGUGAAAACCCCUCUUGGUGCCGUGCUAUCAGGCGAGGUCCCACUGCGAAGACCCCGCGCCUGGCCAGCUGCUUUUCCCGUCGCUCCUCCUAAAGCAGAAACAAAGAAACAGUCGGGGAAGAUUAAAAGCCUUCGAUCUGGUAAUGUUUCUUCCCUUUGAAUGUCUGUGCAGGCAGCAAACAGGCCUCAUGCUCCAAAAAUGGGCCACAGGCAUAUGUCUUCUCCGUGAUUUUAUUAUUUUUUUUCCUUUUCUUGCUAGAUUUCAUUGCUGCUGGAUGCAGGUAGGUAGUGGAGAAGAGCAGGGUGCAUGGAUGUCCUGGCAGCAGGGAUGGGUGAUGCUUCUAGGCAGCCCACAGGCUCGCAGCCACCCAGCCCAUUUCUGCAGGAGCUCUCUCCCCAGCCCUGAGCCUACCCCGAGCUCAAAGCCUAAAUUUAUCCACCGUGGGAGCAGGAAAAUGUUCAUCCCAACCAGGCUGUUUUCUGGAGAGCUGUCCCCAUGUACAGCUGGGGGAUUCAGCGCCACGGCAGGGUCUCGCUUGUUAUUUCAGCAUCACUCACAGCGAGGUGUGAGAGUGAUGGAUGCCCAGGGAUGGGGGAGCCUGACAGGCUGCAAACUGUGUGCAGACUCUGCGAAUUGCUGGCCGGUGGCUUUCCAGGCUGCAAAUUAACUUCCCAAAUUACAGCUGGAGACCAGGAUACUGCUAAAACAACCGAUCUGUCGUGACACGUAUCCUGGGUUUGUCAGAGGCCUGUGUAACUCUGUUGAGAACAGCUAGGGGUGGCUGUCCAAAGUGCAUGUCGAUGCCACAGCUUUGAUGUGACGCUUGCUUUUAGGAAACUUUUAAGUGAUUUGUCCUGCCAUGGCAGGUGGCACACGAUCGUUCUGCUAACCAGUGUCUGCACUACAGAUCUCUCUGCUGCUGAGAUAGGUAGGCCUGAGAAAGCAGGAUUGUCUCUGGUCGUGUGAGCAGAGGAGUCCUGUCCCAGGUGCAGACGCUGUCGGUGCAGUGCUCUGUGCCAGACCUGCGGGAAUAGGGCCACUUAUCUCCAUCUCUACAUACUUCAGCUGCCCAGCUGCUCCUCCAGCAGGCUCAGGUGUCCUGCGGCCCCCCGAGCACCUCGCAAGGCACAGCUCACCAGAAGGCAACCCCCCUUUGCCCACCCCACCCCACGGCCUUCAUCUGAUCUAACUCAUCCCAGCCCACAGCCCCCGACCUCUGGGGAGCAAGGACAGGCCAGGUGGUCCCAGCGAUGGGAGCAGGACAGGAAGAAGGAGGCAAAGGUAGGGUCGAGCUGAAGGAAAGGGCUGGUUUGCUGCCCUGACCCUCUGGGGGUGCUGGUAUUGCUGACACGGGCACGAGAUGGGCGCAGUGCAGCCCCUACCUGGCUGCAGAGCGGCGUUGGCUUUUCUGCCAGCCAUCGGGGAGCAGGGUGGGAAGGCCUGGCAGGAGGUCUUUACAUCUCCCGAUGUCUCUGUACUGAAAAGCAAUACCUGCUGAGAUUAAACUGCUUGGCCUCCUUCCCCUGGUCUCCAAGGCAAACAUAGACGGUUCUAUUCAUACCCACAAGAAAUACAUAUUUCAGCAUUUGGUUCUUUUUUUGUGUGCUUUGUUUUAUCUAGCGCCACGGAGCUUGGAUGUCUUUUUCAACUCAUAUUGUGCUUUGGAUGCGGCCUCUCGUAUUCAGCCCUCUUGCUGCCUUCAUAAAGAAUAACAGCAGCAGUUGUUUUUCCCCCUGCAGCAUGGGCUGCUGUAAACCAAAGGGAACCUUCUUGCUGAAAGGGGACAGAGCGGCCAGGACGCUGCCAUGGCCAUUUCCACUGCUGCCCUGCAGCCCAGGCAGUUUGGCUUUCCCAAAUCUGCAUGGAAAGCAACAAAUUGUCCUGUAAAAAAUCUUUUCUUGAUUUCUGUUUGUCUAAGGAGACAGGCCUAGCUUGUAAACUUGGGACUGACAUUUCCUCCUCCUCAAAUGGGCAGCCAAGUCCACGAUAGACGCCGUGGCACUGACAUCUCACAGGGGUCUUCGGAUUCUGCCCCUCUCCCUCCCUAAAUACACACUUGAAGCCUCCUUUCCUGGCUGUGAGAAGUCCAUCUGGGGGCUUACCUAAGCGCCCAUUUUGUGCAACCCCUCUGCAGCUGUCAGAAAGCAGAAAACCACGCAAGGCCAUUUCUGCUGAUCUUCCAGCUGAGAAGGGACAAGAGCUGCGGGCCCAAGUGCCAGCACUGAGUCACACCGUCCUUCCCCCUUCGUCCUGCUGCUGUGGUGGUUUCCAGUGACCAUCAGUGAUGCUGGGAGCAAGAACAUCUUGUGGCAAUAUGUUGCCUUUGAACUUUGGGCUGGGAAUUACGGGUUUUAAGGCAUUUGAAAAUUGUGUCUGAAAUCUGUGACUCGUCUCAUGCCCUGACCUUAGAGAAGGGACAUUUUGGGGUGGGGUGGCCACGUGAGUGAACCAGAGCAGCUGCAUGGGACCCGCAUCACUGUCUGGGGACAGCUCCUGGGCUCCAUGCCCGAAAAUGCCCACCCCAGCUCCAGCUCCCACCAGCUGUCAGUAGGGUCAGUUGAUGCCGAUGCACCCAAUGUCUGAGACAGCUGAAGGUCUGGUUCUUCGUGCCCAGGUGAGCACCCAAACCCCUUUUUUUUUCAGAUACACCCACUUCUGUUUGUCUGGGGCUGCAUGCCUGCACAAAAGUGUGUCCAAGGCUGCUCUGAUUCUUGCCACCUGCUUGCACAGGGCCAGCUGAGGGAUGGCUGGUGCCAUUCCCACCAACAGGCUGCCAGUCCUGCCCUCCGGGCAGCCAGGGAGGAGGCAGAUGGGGCAAUGGCGCUCCGACCCCAUGUGUCUCAGCUGUGCAGAGCAUCGAAGACAAAUGAACUGCAGGAAGCAUUUCCUCUGCCGAAGGCUCGCGCUCGGGAGGUUUCUGUUCACAGCGUAGGUCAAGAGUUGAAAAACGAAGAAGAAAGGAAAACAGAUAGGAAGAUCCAUCUUCCCCUGUAAAAUCCCCAGAGCAGGGGGCACUGGGAAGUCAUUUUUCACCGAGCUGAGAGCUGUUUCUGGCCCUUUAGCAGACAUUCUCUGCUCAAACCUCAUGUUUUGGGACAUCCUCAUGGGUGUGGGAAGAGCUGGCUCUGGGGUGAACAUGGUGACUAGAGCAGCUCAGGUCAAGCAAGACUGGUCGGGUCCAGCCCCAAAAUGGGCCUUAUAAAACGUUCCUUGUGGCGCCUUGGGAUGAGGGAGGAAUUUUCCCUGCAGGAGGAUUGUCCUGGGCUCGCCAGGUGCAGGACACUUUGCACCUUUCUCUGCACCGUGCUGCUGUGGGAUUUGGGGCACCUUGGGGCCACGGCCCCACACACAAGCUGGCAGUGGCUCAGUUCCUUGACGUGCAAACAUUUUAAACCACCUCGGGCUGAAAUGCAAGGAGAAAUUAGGGGCUUGGAUUCGUCAGCAUUAAUGCACAGGUUAAGAGGGACAGCUUUUAACAGGGAAAAAGCUCCACAACAAGAGGAAGGAGAAUUUCAGUAUGGUUGAAGAAAAUCUAAAUAAAAUUCCUUUCUGGAAGGAAUUCAAGAAAAUUA
This is a long non-coding RNA of Oxyura jamaicensis (ruddy duck), 7700 nucleotides long. RefSeq lists it as uncharacterized. The record is from RefSeq and is a predicted model, not a curated record. Lineage: Eukaryota; Metazoa; Chordata; Aves; Anseriformes; Anatidae. The transcript has 4 exons.